RNAcentral lists this ribosomal RNA (439 nucleotides) under uncultured bacterium. Its description in RNAcentral is "partial 16S ribosomal RNA". It matches the Rfam family "Bacterial small subunit ribosomal RNA", at positions 339 to 795 of the family's 1533-position model. The record is from RNAcentral.
CUACGGGCUGCUGCAGUGGGGAAUCUUAGACAAUGGGGGCAACCCUGAUCUAGCCAUGCCGCGUGAGUGAUGAAGGCCUUAGGGUCGUAAAGCUCUUUCGCCUGUGAUGAUAAUGACAGUAGCAGGUAAAGAAACCCCGGCUAACUCCGUGCCAGCAGCCGCGGUAAUACGGAGGGGGUUAGCGUUGUUCGGAAUUACUGGGCGUAAAGCGCGCGUAGGCGGAUUAGAAAGUUGGGGGUGAAAUCCCGGGGCUCAACCUCGGAACUGCCUCCAAAACUGCUAGUCUAGAGUUCGAGAGAGGUGAGUGGAAUUCCGAGUGUAAAGGUGAAAUUCGUAGAUAUUCGGAGGAACACCAGUGGCGAAGGCGGCUCACUGGCUCGAUACUGACGCUGAGGUGCGAAAGUGUGGGGAGCAAACAGGAUUAGAUACCCCUGUAGUC